CAGUCGCCACGGUAAGACAGAGGAUGCAAGCGUUAUCCGGAAUGAUUGGGCGUAAAGCGUCUGUAGGUGGCUUUUCAAGUCCGCCGUCAAAUCCCAGGGCUCAACCCUGGACAAGCGGUGGAAACUACCAAGCUGGAGUACGGUAGGGGCAGAGGGAAUUUCCGGUGGAGCGGUGAAAUGCGUAGAUAUCGGAAGGAACACCUGUGGCGAAAGCGGCUCACUGGACAAUAACUGACGCUGAGGCACGAAAGCUAGGGGAGCAAACAGGAUUAGAUACCCGCGUAGUCCCUGUCUCUUAUAC
This 301-nucleotide ribosomal RNA is filed under the name uncultured bacterium. RNAcentral's name for it is "partial 16S ribosomal RNA". It matches the Rfam family "Bacterial small subunit ribosomal RNA", at positions 509 to 807 of the family's 1533-position model. The record is from RNAcentral.